CUGCAGCCCGAGUGGUGAUCGAUUUUAUUGAGCCUAAAGCGUCCGUAGCCGGAUUAGUAAACCCUUGGGUAAAUUGGGCAGCUUAACUGUCCAAAUUCCGAGGGGACUGCUAGUCUUGGGACCGGGAGAGGUCAGAGGUACUCAAGGGGUAGGGGCUAAAUCCUGUAAUCCUUUGGGGACCACCAGUGGCGAAGGCGUCUGACUAGAACGGAUCCGACGGUAAGGGACGAAACCCUGGGGCGCGAACCGGAUUAGAUACCCGCGUAGUCC
RNAcentral lists this ribosomal RNA (270 nucleotides) under uncultured archaeon. RNAcentral describes it as "partial 16S ribosomal RNA". It matches the Rfam family "Archaeal small subunit ribosomal RNA", at positions 477 to 747 of the family's 1478-position model. The record is from RNAcentral.